RNAcentral lists this ribosomal RNA (466 nucleotides) under uncultured bacterium. RNAcentral's name for it is "partial 16S ribosomal RNA". It matches the Rfam family "Bacterial small subunit ribosomal RNA", at positions 28 to 507 of the family's 1533-position model. The record is from RNAcentral.
GAUGAACGCUGGCGGCGUGCUUAACACAUGCAAGUCGAACGAUGAAGCCCAGCUUGCUGGGUGGGUUAGUGGCGAACGGGUGAGUAACACGUGAGUAACCUGCCCUUAACUCUGGGAUAAGCCUGGGAAACUGGGUCUAAUACCGGAUAGGAGCGUCCACCGCAUGGUGGGUGUUGGAAAGAUUUAUCGGUUUUGGAUGGACUCGCGGCCUAUCAGCUUGUUGGUGGGGUAAUGGCUCACCAAGGCGACGACGGGUAGCCGGCCUGAGAGGGUGACCGGCCACACUGGGACUGAGACACGGCCCAGACUCCUACGGGAGGCAGCAGUGGGGAAUAUUGCACAAUGGGCGCAAGCCUGAUGCAGCGACGCCGCGUGAGGGAUGACGGCCUUCGGGUUGUAAACCUCUUUCAGUAGGGAAGAAGCGAAAGUGACGGUACCUGCAGAAGAAGCACCGGCUAACUACGUG